RNAcentral lists this long non-coding RNA (820 nucleotides) under Zonotrichia albicollis (white-throated sparrow). Its description in RNAcentral is "lncRNA (ENSZALG00000011826.1)". Lineage: Eukaryota; Metazoa; Chordata; Aves; Passeriformes; Passerellidae. The record is from RNAcentral.
CACAGAGGCAAAACCACAGCGUUCUCCUUGUGGUGAGAAUGUGCUGUAGAUGGAGGGUGCUGCUACGGAAAGCACUGAGCAGCAUUUCUUACCCGGAUUUUUUACACUUUUUAGGUUCAAAUUGGAGCAGGGACGUGGCAAAGCAGGAGAGAGGGGAUGGAGCCCUCUCCAGCUCCUGAUUUCUGUGUCAGGAUCAGAGAGGACCAUCCUGCUGCUGGCUCUGUCCCCACAGUCCCCGAGGCUCCAUGGCCAAGGUGCAGACUGAUCCUGAGGAUCAUGAAAUCCCUUUUCCAUCCCUCUCUCUGUUCCCACUGCAUGGUGAGAUGCUUGUGCCCUUCCUCCAGCAGGAGCUGCCUCGUCCUCUCUGCACCACCAGAGCUGCAGUGCUGAGCCCUGCUUUGACCCUCUGCCACGCUGUGGGUCCAGCCCUGGAUGAGGAGAAAGAGGAAAGGUUCCCUGUGGGCAGCACCGUGGGCCUAGGAGUGUUUGGUACCAGUCUCUUGGCAAAAGAGCCUGAGGAAUGGAAGGGUAAAGAAAUAUGACCCAGCUGCUAUGCACAAUGAGGUUUGUAAGUCCUUGUAUGGUAUAAAUAAGCAUAUUACACAGUUAUUAGAAAUUUGGCACUGUCGCUGUUUAGAAGCAAGGCUCUGAUGCUGUGUAAUUCCUCCCGAGUUCAUGCAUAACUCAGUAUUAGCCUUCCAUUCUUCCAGCCUUGUUACCGGCCAAAUUCGGCAACUUUUUCUCAGUACUCAUCCAUUCAAACCCUUCUCAGCUCUGUAAACCGGUGAGUUUCCUCUCAAGUCAGUAAAUCUGUGCCAGC